This 392-nucleotide ribosomal RNA is filed under the name Methylobacterium sp. KHIMB2. RNAcentral's name for it is "partial 16S rRNA". It matches the Rfam family "Bacterial small subunit ribosomal RNA", at positions 927 to 1320 of the family's 1533-position model. Lineage: Bacteria; Pseudomonadati; Pseudomonadota; Alphaproteobacteria; Hyphomicrobiales; Methylobacteriaceae. The record is from RNAcentral.
CNAAGCGGUGNACAUGUGUUUUAUUUCNAAGCACGCGAAAACCUUACCUUCNUUUGACAUGGCGUGUUAUGGGNAGAGAUUCCCAGUCNUCUUCGGAGGCNCGCACACAGGUGCUGCAUGGNUGUCGUCAGCUCGUGUCGUGAGAUGUUGGGUUAAGUCCCGCAACGAGCGCAACCCACGUCCUUAGUUGCCAUCAUUCAGUUGGNCACUCUAGGNAGACUGCCGGUGAUAAGCCGCGAGGAAGGUGUGGAUGACGUCAAGUCCUCAUGGCCCUUACGGGAUGGGCUACACACGUGCUACAAUGGCGGUGACAGUGGGACGCGAAGGGGCNACUUGGAANAAAUCCCCAAANGCCGUCUCAGUUCGGAAUUGCACUCUGCANCUCGGGGGNA